GAUGAACGCUGGCGGCGUGCCUAAUACAUGCAAGUCGAGCGAACGGACGAGAAGCUUGCUUCUCUGAUGUUAGCGGCGGACGGGUGAGUAACACGUGGAUAACCUACCUAUAAGACUGGGAUAACUUCGGGAAACCGGAGCUAAUACCGGAUAAUAUUUUGAACCGCAUGGUUCAAAAGUGAAAGACGGUCUUGCUGUCACUUAUAGAUGGAUCCGCGCUGCAUUAGCUAGUUGGUAAGGUAACGGCUUACCAAGGCAACGAUGCAUAGCCGAUCUGAGAGGGUGAUCGGCCACACUGGAACUGAGACACGGUCCAGACUCCUACGGGAGGCAGCAGUAGGGAAUCUUCCGCAAUGGGCGAAAGCCUGACGGAGCAACGCCGCGUGAGUGAAGAAGGUCUUCGGAUCGUAAAACUCUGUUAUUAGGGAAGAACAGAUGUGUAAGUAUCUGUGCACAUCUUGACGGUACCUAAACAAAAAGCCACGGCUAACUACGUG
Molecule: ribosomal RNA, 497 nt
Filed under: uncultured bacterium
Lineage: Bacteria
Description: partial 16S ribosomal RNA
Rfam family: Bacterial small subunit ribosomal RNA
Source: RNAcentral